AAGCUCGUGCGGUUUGCAAAAUAUAUAAACAAUUGAAAUCUGGGGAGAGAGAGAGAGAGAGAGGGCAAAGCAAGACAAAACAAAGAAACCAACAUUCUUCUCAAGAACCUUAAAUAUUCAACUUUCAUGGAGAUUCUUCAUCAUCUUUGAUCCUUCUCCCGAGGGUUUGAUAACAGAGGAACAAAUGCUACAUUUCUGGGAAUUUCUCUCCAAUCUGUUAGUUGUUUUUUUUUUUAAUUCUCGGACUGUAUUUGGUGUGGUGAUUACCGGCUUGUGGUCUCUGGUCGGAGAAUGAUUUACUUGACGAGAUUGAUCACAGAUGCUUUAAAACUUGGAAUUUGGAAAGUGGGUGUUAUCAUUUACUGAAGAUGAGUUUUGGGCUCCAUGGCAAUAGAAUUGGGAUCUCGUGUUGCUCAACUUCCAAUCGUCGAGCCGUUCUGCGUUACCUUUGGGAUCCUAUUGUUUGGAAUCUCCGUUCAUCCCUUUUUUCAUAAUAGAGAAUCUUCUUGUUC
Molecule: long non-coding RNA, 512 nt
Organism: Tarenaya hassleriana
Lineage: Eukaryota; Viridiplantae; Streptophyta; Magnoliopsida; Brassicales; Cleomaceae
Exons: 2
Source: RefSeq, a predicted model, not a curated record